RNAcentral lists this unclassified non-coding RNA (214 nucleotides) under Glomeraceae sp. RNAcentral describes it as "partial contains 5.8S ribosomal RNA and internal transcribed spacer 2". The stretch from base 1 to 65 matches the Rfam family "5.8S ribosomal RNA", at positions 84 to 154 of the family's 154-position model. The record is from RNAcentral. Lineage: Eukaryota; Fungi; Glomeromycota; Glomeromycetes; Glomerales; Glomeraceae.
GUGAAUCAUCAAAUUUUUGAACGCAAAUUGCACUCUCCUCGGAGAGUAUGCCUGUUUGAGGGUCAGCCUAUAAAAAAUCGACAUUGUUGCUGUUUCGCGGUGGCGUUCGUCGGAAAUUGGGUCAUCUUAAAUCUUUUGGAUUUAAGCGACUUAAAAUUUUCUUUUUGUUUCAUUAACGUUUCUUAGGUCUAUUUCUUUUCACGGUUUAAGUAUU